RNAcentral lists this ribosomal RNA (400 nucleotides) under uncultured bacterium. RNAcentral describes it as "bacterial SSU rRNA". It matches the Rfam family "Bacterial small subunit ribosomal RNA", at positions 358 to 774 of the family's 1533-position model. The record is from RNAcentral.
GGAAUUUUGCGCAAUGGGCGAAAGCCUGACGCAGCAACGCCGCGUGACCGAUGAAGCCCUUCGGGGUGUAAAGGUCUGUCAGUGGGGACGAAAUCUGACGGUACCCACAGAGGAAGCAUCGGCUAACUCCGUGCCAGCAGCCGCGGUAAUACGGGGGAUGCAAGCGUUGUCCGGAAUCAUUGGGCGUAAAGAGUUCGUAGGUGGUUUGUUAAGUUAGGUGUUAAAUGCAGAGGCUCAACUUCUGUUCGGCACUUGAUACUGGCAGACUUGAAUGCGGCAGAGGUAAAGGGAAUUCCUGGUGUAGCGGUGAAAUGCGUAGAUAUCAGGAGGAACAUCGGAGGCGAAAGCGCUUUACUGGACCGUAAUUGACACUGAGGAACGAAAGCCAGGGUAGCAAAUG